Molecule: ribosomal RNA, 709 nt
Filed under: uncultured bacterium
Lineage: Bacteria
Description: bacterial SSU rRNA
Rfam family: Bacterial small subunit ribosomal RNA
Source: RNAcentral
GCAGUCGAACGGUGAAGAGGAGCUUGCUUCUUGGAUCAGUGGCGAACGGGUGAGUAACACGUGAGCAAUCUGCCCUUGACUCUGGGAUAACUGCGGGAAACUGUAGCUAAUACCGGAUAUUACCUUGGAAGGCAUCUUCUGGGGUGGAAAGAAUUUUGGUCAAGGAUGAGCUCGCGGCCUAUCAGCUAGUUGGUGAGGUAAUGGCUCACCAAGGCGACGACGGGUAGCCGGCCUGAGAGGGUGACCGGCCACACUGGGACUGAGACACGGCCCAGACUCCUACGGGAGGCAGCAGUGGGGAAUAUUGCACAAUGGGCGCAAGCCUGAUGCAGCAACGCCGCGUGAGGGACGACGGCCUUCGGGUUGUAAACCUCUUUUAGUAGGGAAGAAGCGACUGGGUUUUCCUGGGAGUGACGGUACCUACAGAAAAAGCACCGGCUAACUACGUGCCAGCAGCCGCGGUAAUACGUAGGGUGCAAGCGUUGUCCGGAAUUAUUGGGCGUAAAGGGCUCGUAGGCGGUUUGUCGCGUCGGGAGUGAAAACUCAGGGCUCAACCCUGAGCGUGCUUCCGAUACGGGCAGACUAGAGGUAUUCAGGGGAGAACGGAAUUCCUGGUGUAGCGGUGGAAUGCGCAGAUAUCAGGAGGAACACCGGUGGCGAAGGCGGUUCUCUGGGAAUUACCUGACGCUGAGGAGCGAAAGCAUGGGGA